Molecule: ribosomal RNA, 253 nt
Filed under: uncultured bacterium
Lineage: Bacteria
Description: partial 16S ribosomal RNA
Rfam family: Bacterial small subunit ribosomal RNA
Source: RNAcentral
UACGUAGGGGGCUAGCGUUGUCCGGAAUCAUUGGGCGUAAAGAGCGUGUAGGCGGCCCGGUAAGUCCGCUGUAAAAGUCAAAGGCUCAACCUUUGAAUGUCAGUGGAUACUGCCGGGCUAGAGUCCGGAAGAGGCGAGUGGAACUCCUGGUGUAGCGGUGAAAUGCACAGAUAUCAGGAAGAACACCCGUGGCGAAGGCGGCUCUCUGGUACGUGACUGACGCUGAGACGCGAAAGCGUGGGGAGCAAACAGG